Molecule: long non-coding RNA, 2849 nt
Organism: Orbicella faveolata
Lineage: Eukaryota; Metazoa; Cnidaria; Anthozoa; Scleractinia; Merulinidae
Source: RefSeq, a predicted model, not a curated record
AUUUGAUGAAAAACUUGGAGACUCCCGGGAAAACCGGGAGAGUUGGCAGGGCUGCAUUUUUUAUCAAUUUACAGUCAUCACCGAUCAGGCUGCAGGUCAUGAUCAAGUCACAGGCCAGGUCACGGAACUGUGCGGUGACUACUCAGUACUGGCUGGUUUUGCGUACGCAAAUGACGCAUAUUUUACUAAGUCUGUUUUUGAGUGACCUGUACGUAUGACCUGUGGAAUGUGGCCUGCAAAAAGUCUGAAACUUGAAUGUUUCCCAGGACAACCCCCCGAUGAUCAAAUUCCGAUCCCCCAGGGCAAAGAUGAUGUUUAAAUACCUAUCUUAGGGUUAUCCGGAGACCCAAGGUCAGUCAGUGAGUGCAACUGUUGAGGGCUUCAUGAGGUAUAAUUCCUCUCAAAUAUGCACUCGACACUCAAGAAACGUUUUGGUUACAAUAAUUAUUUGUAAACAAAACUUUUUUCAAGCAAAAUGUGGGCAAAUAACUAAGAAAGAUAUAGCAGUUGAAAGGACCUUUGUGAAGGCUUCAUAUUGGAACAUACACAAAAAAAAACUGGAGACCUGAUGGAUGUGUACCAAUUGGGUAGAAUAAUGCAAAUGAUUUUUUCUGUCCUCUCAGGAGGCAGCUUUGUAGAGCCAUUUGGAACUGACCUAGUAAGACUCUAUCCCCAGGGGCUCCUUGCCUUCUCUCCAAUUUCUUUGCCAAUGUUUUUUCCUGCUAGUUAAGUUUCUGUCUCCCUCAUUGACUGGCCCUCACUGGGUCUCCACGGAUAAUUGCUUGUUUUCAGCUGAAGGAUUUUAAGCAUGGAGAGGUAAUUGAAAGUUAUAGAAAAGUUAUUGCAAUAACCUGUUAAGAGACAACUUUUUGCAAAGUUUAAAAAAGUCUAUAGUUCAGAUUCAAAGCCAUCUCGAAUUUUUGAAAACUGGUACAGACUGGUUUAUGGGCUCUGCUAUGAACUCUUCACAACACCCACACCCAACAUGGUAAUUCAAUCCCUGUCAAUAUGUAAUCAGUAAUUGUGAUAAUCUUAUCUCGUCUUUAAGGAUGUCCGUGAGGAGAUAGAAUUUCAAGUCAGUCGUAUUUGCAAUGCAUGUAAUGUUAGCCCUUCAUUAAAAGACAUGGAACACAUAAUGAAAAUGAUCAUGGAGACAGGUGAAGCAUGUGAAGGUGUCAUGAAGGUUGUAUGCUAUUGCUCCGUGGGUUACCGAUCAAGUUAUCUUGCUCAGCGUUUACUAUGUGAACUGGACAAACCUGUUUAUCAAGAAAUGAAAUCCAAGGUUAUGGUAUACAAUUUGGAAGGUUCAAUCUUUAAAUGGGCAAAUGAAGGAAAAGAGCUUGAAGAUAACAAAGGACUAAAGACUCUUGUAGUACAUCCUUAUAAUGUUGUAUGGGGAAAGCUACUGAAUGCCGAGCUGAGAUGCUCAGAACCAAGGGAAUCAAGUGAGAAUGAAAGGGAAAGGCAGCCGAAACUCUGAUGGCAUCAAAUGAUAUUGACUUACAGAGCCAUGCAUAAAGAUGAAAAAGAAUUCCAACAACAAAUUGGCUUCAGAAUGUUCUUAACUGAGUUUCAGCGCUGUUCAGAUGUUUAUAGUCCCGGCUUAUAAGUGAAAUCCUCCCACAAGCCACUGCUUUCUUCCUGUCCUGUUGCCUGGGUCGUCGAGCCAUGUGGCGCGCAAACAAGACAAGCAAAAUCGCCGCAGAUUCAAAACCCUGGACUUGAACAUGGAAAUCAUAUAAUGUGAUUAUAGUCUGCGUAUGAGCGGAAAGGCUAGACUCCUGGUAGCCAAUCUUUUCUCUCAGGGAUAGACGCGGGUGUUUAUCCAUGAACACGAACGCAAAAGGGUGGUAUGGACGAUUAGGGGUUGAGGCCAUGUCUCGUCCCAAUCCCUUCGCGUCUGAAAUGUCUCCCCCAACCUCAUUCCCAGGGCAUUUCCCUUUGAAAUUGAGAAAAGCCCUGGGAACGAGGUUGAUAAUGCCCGCCUCAUUUCGAGAAAGAAACAGACUGUCAGCAGUCUACGAAAAGGCCCGAACAGCCACCGUUAAACUUUUAUCGCGAGGGAAGACCAUCAAAAAGUCAAAGCCCAGAGGACUGAUGACAGAAUAUUGUCACUGACUUGAAAUCUAAAUAUAAUGUGCUAGUUUUGUUAAAAAUUACUGUUUAAGUGUACUGAAGCUAUCAAAGGCUAGGUAGGCAUGUACAAAGUUGUGAUGUUAAACUGACAAAGUCUGACAGACGUACGUUUCCAAAUUUUGUCGUCGUGCCUUAGAAAAAUUGCUCAAAACCAAUGAGAAUUUGCCCUCAAACAAUUAUAUGAAUUUCAUAGAUUCUUUUUCAAUUUACUCUCCUCUAGUCAACUUACUUGUAUUGUCUUCUUGGUGUCCUAGGAUUUAUUAUGUUUGAUGCACAAGCGAAGGUACUCAGAAAAACAGUUACUUUGUUCUAGGAUUUACAGUAAGCUGGCUAAAAGGCUGUCCAAGCUCAUUCUAGCUCUCAUCUAAAUCUGGGGGUCUAACUUUAAGAGUCUGAACGUCUGGCGCUCGCACUUUAAACACUUUGAAUUCUCGGUCUCACUAUCUAAAAGGUCAUAAUGUCUCGGGCUUGAAGAGUCGCAGAGAAAAACGCUUGUCUCGCUAAGUCUCGCAUUUACCAUUCGCCACCCCUACAUAUAGCGUGGGGAAUGUCACGUAUUUUUUAAAUGCGGAAUCCUUUUUUGGUUCAAAAAGCAGUUUUACUUAAUUUUCUUUUCAACAAAAAAGUUAAUAAUUAAAGUUCCGGUUUGCUACAGCUUGUUGUUCCAGCUUUGGUUAAAUAUCGACACUUUAAAAUAAAUGAAGACAACAAAA